This 292-nucleotide ribosomal RNA is filed under the name uncultured bacterium. RNAcentral's name for it is "partial 16S ribosomal RNA". It matches the Rfam family "Bacterial small subunit ribosomal RNA", at positions 505 to 796 of the family's 1533-position model. The record is from RNAcentral.
GUGUCAGCAGCCGCGGUAAUACAGAGGGUGCAAGCGUUGUUCGGAAUUACUGGGCGUAAAGCGCGUGUAGGUGGCGGCGUAAGUCGGGUGUGAAAUCCCUUGGCUUAACCAAGGAAGUGCACUCGAUACUGUGUCGCUUGAGUAUCGGAGGGGACGGCGGAAUUCCCGGUGUAGAGGUGAAAUUCGUAGAUAUCGGGAGGAACACCUGUGGCGAAGGCGGCCGUCUGGACGAUUACUGACACUGAGACGCGAAAGCGUGGGUAGCAAACAGGAUUAGAAACCCCUGUAGUCC